Gymnogyps californianus (California condor) is the source of this 963-nucleotide long non-coding RNA. RefSeq lists it as uncharacterized. The transcript has 3 exons. The record is from RefSeq and is a predicted model, not a curated record. Lineage: Eukaryota; Metazoa; Chordata; Aves; Accipitriformes; Cathartidae.
AAGUAUAUUCCUCUGUAUUAUUUUUGUAGUACCACUUUAUUCUGUGGUCUAAAAGUGAACCCAACUGAAAGGACUCUGUUGGAGACUCUGGAGAAACAGAAGUGGGCUGUCACAAGUAAAAAACCUUUGAGUACAGCUGCUGCCAGCUCCUUGCAAAUGAUGUUUUUAUGAAGUACCAGCUUUUGACUUUUUCAAUAGUGUAAAAGAAACAGCAAGCAGACCACGUUAGCACAAAAUGAGUAAUACACAAUGUCAGUGGGUGAAAAAUUGCCCUGAAGCUAUAAAGGUGUCUUUUCUACAUGCUUUAUUUAAUAGAAAGCAAAGUAAAAGCAAACGUGAAUCUUAGGCAUUGGUAUAGAUUGUAUCAUAGUGCAGAAAUAGUAUGCAAAGCUGAGCAGCUUGCUUGGAGCCUGGGAGGAAAAAAAAAAAGGCAAGGACACUUUCUGGCCAGGCUAGAUAAAAGAGAAUUGACUAUAUAUUUCAUUUGUGUUCCUUGAUUAAUUUCUUUUCUCCUUUCCUUAUCUUCACGCCUUGAGCUCAGGCAGACCAGCGCUUCAUUUCUGAUGAGAAGGCAGCCAUCCAAAAAUCAGCUUAAGGAAAAUGCUGUAUCUCACUGUACUAUUCCCACCGUACACCACUGACGAACGAGGUGUAUGGCAUUAGGAGCUUUCUGAAACAAAAGUGCUCCACACAAGAUGUAAACCAAGGACCCUGGAAUCAGCACUACAUGUGGCACAAGCUCUGCUCCCUUCUUACAUCACAGUCAUAAGAUGGACCACGGAUUCCUGCUUGGUUGUUGGCAUAAGAUGGAACCAUGGAAAUACAAGAAGUGGUAGGACUUUGUACGUGAGUAUGAACAAGUAGAAUAUAGACCCUUAUUCUUCCUGAGGAAAGUUCAACUUCAAAUUUGGCUCCAAGGAAUGAUUUAUCUUCUGCUAGUACUUGUCUCAUCCUGUAGAAUAA